CAUUGGUGGAGAAGGGAACA
RNAcentral lists this non-coding RNA (20 nucleotides) under Rattus norvegicus (Norway rat). The record is from RNAcentral. Lineage: Eukaryota; Metazoa; Chordata; Mammalia; Rodentia; Muridae.